RNAcentral lists this long non-coding RNA (276 nucleotides) under Ananas comosus (pineapple). Its description in RNAcentral is "long non-coding RNA (ACOM_LNC005312)". Lineage: Eukaryota; Viridiplantae; Streptophyta; Magnoliopsida; Poales; Bromeliaceae. The record is from RNAcentral.
CAUAAAAUUUUAAAUUCAAGUUUGUAACUUUAUAUUUAAAUUUAAAUUUUUAAAAUUUUAUUUUUAUUUAAAUUUGAAUUUUAAAAUUUAAAUUUAAAUAUUAAAUUUAAAGUUUAAUCAAAUUAACUUUACCUAAGAACUUCAAUUUGAACUUGAUAUCAAAGUGGUCCUAUUAUAAAUUCAAAUUAUCGACUACAAUUUGAAUUUAAAAUUUAAAUUUUUAAGUUCAAAUUCAAAUUCAAAUUAAAUUUUUUAUUUACACUUAAUUUUAAUAAU